CAGUAGCCGCGGGAAUACGGAGGGUGCAAGCGUUAAUCGGAAUUACUGGGCGUAAAGCGCACGCAGGCGGUCUGUCAAGUCAGAUGUGAAAUCCCCGGGCUUAACCUGGGAACUGCAUUUGAAACUGGCAGGCUAGAGUCUUGUAGAGGGGGGUAGAAUUCCAGGUGUAGCGGUGAAAUGCGUAGAGAUCUGGAGGAAUACCGGUGGCGAAGGCAGCCCCCUGGGCCAAUACUGAUGCUCAUGCACGAAAGCGUGGGGAGCAAACAGGAUUAGAUACCCCGGUAGUCCCUGUCUCUUAUAC
Molecule: ribosomal RNA, 301 nt
Filed under: uncultured bacterium
Lineage: Bacteria
Description: partial 16S ribosomal RNA
Rfam family: Bacterial small subunit ribosomal RNA
Source: RNAcentral